Molecule: ribosomal RNA, 492 nt
Filed under: uncultured bacterium
Lineage: Bacteria
Description: partial 16S ribosomal RNA
Rfam family: Bacterial small subunit ribosomal RNA
Source: RNAcentral
AGUGAACGCUGGCGGUAGGCCUAACACAUGCAAGUCGAACGGCAGCACAGUAAGAGCUUGCUCUUACGUGUGGCGAGUGGCGGACGGGUGUGGAAUACAUCGGAAUCUACUUUUUCGUGGGGUAUAACGUAGGGAAACUUACGCUAAUACCGUAUACUACCUACGGGUGAAAGCAGGGGAUCUUCGUACCUUGCGCGAUUGAAUGAGCCGAUGUCGGAUUAGCUAGUUGGCGGGGUAAAGGCCCACCAAGGCGACGAUCCGUAGCUGGUCUGAGAGGAUGAUCAGCCACACUGAAACUGAGACACGGUCCAGACUCCUACGGGAGGCAGCAGUGGGGAAUAUUGGACAAUGGGCGCAAGCCUGAUCCAGCCAUACCGCGUGGGUGAAGAAGGCCUUCGGGUUGUAAAGCACUUUUGUUGGGAAAGAAAAGCAGAAGGUUAAUACCCCGCUGUUCUGACGGUACCCAAAGAAGAAGCACCGGCUAACUUCGUG